AUCGGUUUAUGUGAGCACAGUUAUUAUAAACUGGACUAGUGUGGAUCAUAAAAUGGAUUUGUUUUAACGGGAUUAUAUUUGGACUACAAUUACUUUGAUUAAAUUUUACUCUAUAUAUGUACAACCCUAACCCAAGGCUGUAAAACUACCUUAAGAUGCCUUUAUUGUGAAGUGGCGCUGUAGAAAUAAAGCUGAGUUGAACUGAAAUAUGUGUGUGUGUGUGUGUCUGUAAAUGAGACUUUAAUCCAGAGAAAGUCAGUGAGGACGGAGAUAAGCAGAGGAAACGGCAGAAUCAGAGCGACCUGAUCUGGUGGUUCUGUUAUCGGACUACAAAGGUUAUGUGAGACUCUGAAACCGGACCACAGUCAGGUUAAGUGGAUCAUUUAUCUUCUUAAGCUGAAGCUCCAGUGAGCUGCUGUUGUUUUAAAGAAACUGUGAUUAUCUCGGGCGAGAGUAAAAUGUCAGCGAGCCUUGCUCUCUGAUGGAAAAACACUGGACUUUAAAGACUGACGAAGAUGAGUCAAGCCUCUUGAAACAGGUGGAGGAGGAUUAAAGAAGAAAGAACCAGCUGUAAGGUUUCCAGAUUUACUGUCUGCAGGAAUUCAGGUGAAAUGUUGGUUUCAGUCCCAACAGACAAUCACAGAAAAACCAUCUCUGUUUCUGAAGUCCUCCAACAUGGUUCAUAUCUGGAGGUGGAUGGAAACCUGCUGCACAUCUUUGUCUCAGAGCAAAGGAUUCUAGGAAAAUGUGAGGAACAACAUGGUCCUCCAUCAUGAUACAAGGAAGGAGCUUUGGUGUUGCCUGAAGGUUGAAGUGUGUAAUGUCUGACGUGUUCUGGUCCAAACAGCAGGUCUAGAACAACAGAACAAUCUGCUGGAGCAUUGUUAGCUCAUCGCUGUCUGAUGUUCAGAAAACUGCCAGUCUUCUUUCCGGGAUGUUGGAAAGAAGACUCCGGUUGAUUGUAGAAGCUCAGAUUUGGUGGAUGGAUGGAUGGAU
Molecule: long non-coding RNA, 996 nt
Organism: Melanotaenia boesemani (Boeseman's rainbowfish)
Lineage: Eukaryota; Metazoa; Chordata; Actinopteri; Atheriniformes; Melanotaeniidae
Exons: 3
Source: RefSeq, a predicted model, not a curated record